GUGGGGAAUAUUGGACAAUGGGCGAAAGCCUGAUCCAGCCAUGCCGCGUGUGUGAAGAAGGUCUUCGGAUUGUAAAGCACUUUAAGUUGGGAGGAAGGGCAUUAACCUAAUACGUUAGUGUUUUGACGUUACCGACAGAAUAAGCACCGGCUAACUCUGUGCCAGCAGCCGCGGUAAUACAGAGGGUGCAAGCGUUAAUCGGAAUUACUGGGCGUAAAGCGCGCGUAGGUGGUUCGUUAAGUUGGAUGUGAAAUCCCCGGGCUCAACCUGGGAACUGCAUCCAAAACUGGCGAGCUAGAGUAGGGCAGAGGGUGGUGGAAUUUCCUGUGUAGCGGUGAAAUGCGUAGAUAUAGGAAGGAACACCAGUGGCGAAGGCGACUACCUGGACUGACACUGACACUGAGGUGCGAAAGCGUGGGGAGCAAACAGGAUUAGAAACCCCGGUAGUCC
RNAcentral lists this ribosomal RNA (450 nucleotides) under uncultured bacterium. RNAcentral's name for it is "partial 16S ribosomal RNA". It matches the Rfam family "Bacterial small subunit ribosomal RNA", at positions 354 to 796 of the family's 1533-position model. The record is from RNAcentral.